RNAcentral lists this non-coding RNA (101 nucleotides) under Aneurinibacillus sp. XH2. Its description in RNAcentral is "TPP riboswitch aptamer (THI element)". It matches the Rfam family "TPP riboswitch aptamer (THI element)". Rfam says of the family: Vitamin B(1) in its active form thiamin pyrophosphate (TPP) is an essential coenzyme that is synthesised by coupling of pyrimidine and thiazole moieties in bacteria. The record is from Rfam by way of RNAcentral. Lineage: Bacteria; Bacillati; Bacillota; Bacilli; Caryophanales; Paenibacillaceae. RNAcentral also lists the same sequence under 1 other name.
AACCGCCACUAGGGGAGCUCUUGGGCUGAGAGAAGCGCUUGCUUCGACCCUUAGAACCUGAUCCGGAUAAUGCCGGCGGAGGGAAGUGGACGGGUGAUGCC